GUUCCAUACUUCCAUACAGAUAAUAACAAUAGGCUAUUAUAACAAAUAUAACACAUUUAGAUACCUGCUAAAAGUAGUACUAGUAUUCCCGUAAAUUUGACCACCAAACGCUAUAAUAUUUUUUUUCUGUUUGGCGUAAAGUCCUUCCGGCUUGAUACUAAAUUGACGCUCGAAUUAAAGCUUGAUAUGCAAAUAUGAGACAAGCUUAGCCUCCUCCGCAGGCCUCUCUAUGGGUUUUAGCCUGCGAAUGGGUUUUGAAAAAAAAAAUUCUCACCACCCGAUUCCUCAGGUGAGAUGCCUGCGGAGGAGGCUAAGACAAGCUACCCCCAGUGAAUAAAUUUCCGAAAUC
Non-coding RNA from Paramuricea clavata, 349 nucleotides. The record is from the annotation of a GenBank genome assembly. Lineage: Eukaryota; Metazoa; Cnidaria; Anthozoa; Malacalcyonacea; Plexauridae.